RNAcentral lists this long non-coding RNA (1046 nucleotides) under Salvator merianae (Argentine black and white tegu). RNAcentral describes it as "lncRNA (ENSSMRG00000003349.1)". The record is from RNAcentral. Lineage: Eukaryota; Metazoa; Chordata; Lepidosauria; Squamata; Teiidae.
AUGCCCAUGCAGUUUCCAGGGGCUGACAAGAUUAGAUGGUAUCAAUCAGCAAGGUGCAGCUUAGAAGUACAGGCUCCCCCGCUCUCGUUUCUGGGGAAGAGAAGAGGGCAAGGCUUCUCCAAUUUCAAUAGCUUUGUAGAAGAGUACGUUUCGGGCGAUGCUGCCUGUGUUGUAAACUACAUCUGCCAAAAUCAGCUCUUUUUCUACAGAGGCUUUCGUGGUGCAGGGACCAUGCCUUCGUUUCCCCGUGGCAACCUUGAAAAAUGCGCCCUUUCCUCGUCCUCUCGCUUCUUCAGAGGUUGGCGUGCCUUACUUUUGCGGGCGAAAUUCAACCCAAACCGUAAACCCCUCUCUGAAAGGCUGUUUUAGUUGUAUCCGGUGGGAAUAUAUAAACUCCAACUGGAAAUGAUAAGGAAAAUUGGAAAGAUCCUAACCUCUCUCUUUUCUUCCAUGGAGUCCAAACCUGCAAAUAUUUAUUUGGACGGAAGCCCUUUUGCGUUCAGUAUGGCUCCCUUCUAAUAAGUUGACUAGAACAAUAAUUACAUUGCGUGAAAGCGGGGAGUGAAAGAAGGGAGUUGGGCUUUUGUGCUGUCUUCUAAACAGUGCUGAUCCCCGGGCUGUGCUCUGGAAUCCAUGCCUUGAUUUCUCCAUCAGUGUCUGUAGGUUGGAAAUUGCAAUAUCUGGUGCCUAAAGGAACAACUUUGCUCAUCUAGGAUACACGGGAAGGGGGUAAAAAACAGCCAAGUUUCCUGCUUGUAGCAGCCAGUUGCUUGCAUGUAGUCUAGCAAGUUUACCUGCUUUGUGCAGGUAUCUUGUCCCUCCCUUUGUUUCUGUCGCCGUGCAAAAAGCUUACUGCUUCCCAGAGAAGCGUCGGAGCGGUUUUGCCUUUGACCUAAAUAGGUGUCGAUGGAACUGGCUCUGAAGACUUGAGUUACACUCUUGAGUGAUUUUUGCCUUUCCUGUUUUCAGACGGAUGCUGGCUUUUGUAACUGUUUUGGUUCCUGUUUCCCAAUAAACCUUUUGUAUUUUUCCGUUGAGAAGACCUA